CGGGGAAUAACGACGGGAAACUGUCGCUAAUACCGCAUACGCCCUUCGGGGGAAAGAUUUAUCGCUGAUGGAUGUGCCCGCGUCCGAUUAGGUAGUUGGUGGGGUAAAGGCCUACCAAGCCGACGAUCGGUAGCUGGUCUGAGAGGAUGAUCAGCCACACUGGGACUGAGACACGGCCCAGACUCCUACGGGAGGCAGCAGUGGGGAAUAUUGGACAAUGGGCGCAAGCCUGAUCCAGCAAUGCCGCGUGAAUGAUGAAGGCCUUAGGGUUGUAAAGUUCUUUCGGGUGGGACGAUGAUGACGGUACCACCAGAAGAAGCCCCGGCUAACUUCGUGCCAGCAGCCGCGGUAAUACGAAGGGGGCUAGCGUUGUUCGGAAUUACUGGGCGUAAAGCGCACGCAGGCGGCUCGUUAAAUUAGAAGUGAAAGCCCUGGGCUCAACCCGGGAAUUGCUUUUAAGACUGGCGAGCUAGAAUCCAGAAGAGGGCAGUGGAAUUCCAAGUGUAGAGGUGAAAUUCGUAGAUAUUUGGAAGAACACCAGUGGCGAAGGCGACUGCCUGGUCUGGCAUUGACGCUCA
RNAcentral lists this ribosomal RNA (578 nucleotides) under uncultured bacterium. RNAcentral's name for it is "bacterial SSU rRNA". It matches the Rfam family "Bacterial small subunit ribosomal RNA", at positions 137 to 749 of the family's 1533-position model. The record is from RNAcentral.